GACGGGGGGCCAACAGCGGCAGCGACUUGACGGUCUGCUCACGGAUGGCAGCGUUGGUGUCCAGGAAACCCCGAGCCACGUGGGGGAAGAUCUGAGAGCUCACCGUCGCCUCCGGAAGGAACUCAAUGUAGUCCUCCAGCUGCUGCAGCAGCCGCAUGCGCAGCGCUCGGUCUGGCGAGGCGAAGAGGCGGACGAUGACGGGGACGAUGCGGCGCUGAUACUCGGGGGGGUCCAACGCUUUGGCCACCUGGAGCAGCGGCGGCAGCGCGGCGGCGUCGGCACUGCCGAACUCGAGCGCCUGCAGCAGCCGCGGCAGCAGUUUGUGGUGGCGGAAGGCGGAGGGCAGCGAAGGCAGCAGGGCUGGGAGCUGCUGCAGGAAGGCGCGGCGCUGCGGGGGGUCCUGGACCUGCAGCUGCUCGAGGCCGCGCGCGGUGGUGGCGAUGGCGGAGCUGAGGAAGGCGCCGGGGCGGCCCCCCAACUCCAGCAGCUGUUCGGGGCUCGGCCGCGUGGAGGGGUCGGCGGCCACCAGCUGGGAGAAGGGGGCGAGCAGAG
RNAcentral lists this long non-coding RNA (552 nucleotides) under Gallus gallus (chicken). The record is from RNAcentral. Lineage: Eukaryota; Metazoa; Chordata; Aves; Galliformes; Phasianidae.